This 197-nucleotide non-coding RNA is filed under the name Paenibacillus yonginensis. RNAcentral's name for it is "Lysine sequence". It matches the Rfam family "Lysine riboswitch aptamer". From Rfam's summary of the family: Riboswitches are metabolite binding domains within certain messenger RNAs that serve as precision sensors for their corresponding targets. Allosteric rearrangement of mRNA structure is mediated by ligand binding, and this results in modulation of gene expression. Lineage: Bacteria; Bacillati; Bacillota; Bacilli; Caryophanales; Paenibacillaceae. The record is from Rfam by way of RNAcentral.
UGAUGAGGUAGAGGUCGCGGUUUGGAAGAGUACCGCCGGGGUAAGUUAGAAGCAGCUGAGGAUCCCGGAAGGAAAGGGCAAACCGCCGAAGUGUGGCUCCCAAGCUUCAAAGGGGGCGAUGCUGGGGCUGUUCCCGAAAGGGGCAGAACUGUCACGGCCAUUUGUCGCCAUAAAUGCCGUGUUGUGCUAUCUUCAUG